This 425-nucleotide ribosomal RNA is filed under the name uncultured bacterium. Its description in RNAcentral is "partial 16S ribosomal RNA". It matches the Rfam family "Bacterial small subunit ribosomal RNA", at positions 354 to 796 of the family's 1533-position model. The record is from RNAcentral.
GUGAGGAAUUUUCCGCAAUGGGCGAAAGCCUGACGGAGCAAUGCCGCGUGGGUGAAGAAGGUCUUCGGAUCGUAAAGCCCUUUCGACAGGGACGAUGAUGACGGUACCUGUAGAAGAAGCCCCGGCUAACUUCGUGCCAGCAGCCGCGGUAAUACGAAGGGGGCUAGCGUUACUCGGAAUUACUGGGCGUAAAGGGCGCGUAGGCGGCUCUGUUAGUCAGGCGUGAAAUUCCUGGGCUUAACCUGGGGACUGCGCUUGAUACUGCAGGGCUUGAGGCCGAGAGAGGGUGGUGGAAUUCCCAGUGUAGAGGUGAAAUUCGUAGAUAUUGGGAAGAACACCGGUGGCGAAGGCGACCACCUGGCUCGGUUCUGACGCUGAGGCGCGACAGCGUGGGGAGCAAACAGGAUUAGAAACCCUGGUAGUCC